UAGAGUUUGAUCCUGGCUCAGGACGAACGCUGGCGGCGUGCCUAAUACAUGCAAGUUGAACGAUGAUUUCUGGUACUUGUAUCAGAAUGAAGAGUAGCGAACGGGUGAGUAACGCGUGGGUAACCUACCUCUUAGCGGGGGUCAACUAUUGGAAACGAUGGCUAAUACCGCAUAACAAUGUUAAACCCAUGUUUAACAUUUGAAAGUACCAAUUGGUACACUAGGGGAUGGACCCGCGUUGUAUUAGCUAGUUGGUAGUGUAAUGGACUACCAAGGCGAUGAUACAUAGCCGACCUGAGAGGGUGAUCGGCCACAUUGGGACUGAGACACGGCCCAAACUCCUACGGGAGGCAGCAGUAGGGAAUCUUCGGCAAUGGACGAAAGUCUGACCGAGCAACGCCGCGUGAGUGAAGAAGGUUUUCGGAUCGUAAAACUCUGUUGUUAGAGAAGAACGUUGUGUAGAGUGGAAAAUUACACAAGUGACGGUAUCUAACCAGAAAGGGACGGCUAACUACGUGCCAGCAGCCGCGGUAAUA
Molecule: ribosomal RNA, 536 nt
Filed under: uncultured Lactococcus sp.
Lineage: Bacteria; Bacillati; Bacillota; Bacilli; Lactobacillales; Streptococcaceae
Description: bacterial SSU rRNA
Rfam family: Bacterial small subunit ribosomal RNA
Source: RNAcentral